AGUCAUAGCAUUAAGCUGUAAGAUGCAUUGGAAUGUGUUGAAUCUGGCUGCUCCUACAGAAUGCCUGUAUUUCCCUCAUCUCAGUUUUUGGUUGUUAUAAUAUAUAAUGCUGAAAUCAAUGUUCUUUCCUAUAAAUGUGUGGCACAGCGGGUCAAACCGCCACCUGCAAUGUGUGCAUCCAUAUUGGCGCUGGUUCACACCCUGGCUGCUCCACUUCCAAUCCAGAUUUCUGCUAAUGGCCUGAGAAAAGCAGAGGAACCUGGCCCAAGUGCCUGGGCCCCUGCCACCCACUGGGGACACUGGAUUAAGCUCCUGGCUUUGGACUGACCCAGGCUUGACUUGUAGCAGCCAUCUUGGGAGUGAAUUGGCAGAUAGAGACUCGAUCUCUCCCUGCCCCGCUUUGUAACUCUAGCUUUCAAAUAAAUUUUUAAAAGAAUAAUAAAAUAAGAGACAUAAAAUUGUACAUGUUUAACAGGCACUAUGUAUGUAUGGGCAAACAAAAUCCCUAAUGCACACUCAUUGGAGGAAAUGGUACCAAUUUUGCCAUCUUGUUCUCUUGUGAAUGCUGUUUAAACUUUAUGUGUCAAGGUCAUGGUCGUUGCCUCCAUCUUCUGAACUUUAAGCCUGAAACACCGUCUCCAGCCCCACGUGACAGUAUCGUGUGGAUUGUUGGAGGACUUCCUGGUCCACCGGGGCUGCGCGGCUCUGGGCGCCCCUGACAGGCCGCUCUCCUGCAAUCCACGACCCCAGACCUGGGGACUGGCCCGCGCGGCCGAGGUCGAGGGCGGUGUCCCUCGUGCAGCGGGGGCGGUUGUGCUGGAGCGAGCUCCGAGGCGGGCGUCCCAGGGCCACGCGGGAUGUCCUCUCCCUGCCCGGCGGGAGGGAGGUGGUCCAGGUCCGUGCACCUCCAUGCUCCUGUCUGGCUCUGCCCCUAAACCCACAGAGGCAGGACCUGCAGCUGCGGAGAGUUGACUGCAUUGUUCCAAAGCUGCAGCCCUCACUGAACAGAAAAAAUGUCCAUGAGGAGUUGUUACCCCCAGGAUACUGAAGCGUGUCAGUGACAAGGACACAGCUACCCAGAAUGUUGAAGUAUCCCAGACACAACAGCACCAUCACACAGGAUAUCGAAGCCACCCAGAUGCAAAGAUACAGCUAUACAGCGAUUCACCUGGCGUCCAGCAGGGGGCGGCGGGCAGAAAGUCCGCAAUUGUGAGCCUCCCGCCCGGUGGGCCCGCGCCUGGAGGUGGUGCCCAGGGCCCCUUGGCUGCGCGGUGGCUGCGCAUGUGCGCAUGAGCGCGUGUCUCGGGCAGCUCCCCAGGCUGCACCCCCCUGAAGAGCACGCCCUGGGUUCCUUUUCGUUGCCACCUGCUGCUCCUGACCGAGCCGCUGAUGCCUGAGGGGGAACUAGCAGCAGAGAAGCGCUGUGUUCCAGAAUGUUCUCAGAUCCCACAGGGAAGGCUCCUGCGACGGACAGAGCAGCCUGAGUCCCGCUCGGGCCCUGGAGGGCGCCCACGGGGAAUUCUCCGGCUCUCACGAGGACUUAGCUGCUGCGUUCACACGUGGACCUGCUGCUUCCAGACUGUCCGGGUCAUGCACAUGUGCACUGGGAGCCCAGACCCGUGCCUCCGCUGCGGCCCUGCCUGCGUUUCUGAAGUCCCGGGCCGCACCACGCCAUCCAUGCGUCCUUCCGACCUGUGCUGGCCUCCUGCCACAGGUCACCUGUCCCUGGUGCGGAGCGUCAGCGGCGGGAAGGGCCUGUGUGAGUAACUUGUCUUGCUGAGAAGCGAUGCAGGGGUGUUUCAGAUGCAGCUGUGAUCCCGCAGCCGCCCAGCAGAGAGAGCCCAUGGCGAGCGAGCAGCAGAGCGUCCCGGUCAGGAGGCCAGGAGUGCGCAUGUGCAGCCCUGGAGACCACUAAGAAUAGAAACUGAGCAGAUUCCGUACUAUUUUUAAAGAUUUAUUUAUUUAUUUAUUUAUUUGAAAGAGUUACACAGAGGAGAGGCACAGAGAAAGAGACGGCUUCCAACUGCUGGUUCACUCCCCAGUUGGCCACAGCGGCCGGAGCUACACCCAUCUGAAGCCAGGAGCCUGGAGCCUGGAGCUUCAUCCAGGUCUCCCACCUGGGUGCAGGGGCCCAAGGUCUUAGGCAUCUUCCACUGCUUUCCCAGGCCAUAGCAGGGAGCUGGAUUGGAAGUGGAGCAGCCAGGACUCGAACCGGCGCCCAUAUGGGAUGCCAGCACUGCAGGCGGCGGCUUCACCUGCUACAGCACAGCACUGGCCCUGUUUCUGUACUAUUUGAGAGAAAUAGUUACAUACGAAGACAACCAGAGUAAAUCUGAGGUAUAAAUGAAAUUCUGGGGGGAAAACCAAAAUGGGGAAACAAAGGUAAUGCUGAAAAUAAUUCAGUUUUUUCCGUCAAUGGAAAUGUACUUUAGACUGCUGGGUUUUGAGAAAACUCCUCUGGGCAUCUAGACGGAAAGAAGUGACCUAGAAAGGUGUGCAUUAGCAGGACGCUGGACUGGAAGCAGAGAACCUUGGACUCAGACUGUUUGCGUCGGGGUCCCGGGCUGGGGUUCUUCCAGAGUCUUCCCUCCACACAGAGACAAAGAUGCAUAGGAAAGCAGGAUUUAUGGAAAGCACAGGAAAAGUGCACGUUUAAGAGCUAAGCCAGGCCAGCGAGAGAGAGAGAGAGAGAGGAAGGGGGGAGGGAGAGAGAGAGGAAGGGGGAGAGAGAGAGAGAGAGAGAAUAGAAAAAAGACUUCAGCGCUGCAGAAACCCCCCGCGAGGCUCAGGCCCUGCUUUCACGUGAUUGGUGGAUGUGGGAGGUGGCGUCUGGGGCAGGACUUAACUGAAUUUGAAAAUACCGGUUGUCAGGCACCAGAGGGGAUGGGAGUGGGAGUGCUGGCCGUGGUAACUCAGUAGGGUGGCGUGCCCAUGACCGGAGGUCAUCGCGGGGCGCCCUGCAGCCGUAUUGCGCAUUCCAGCUGGCGCUGGGGGAACGUUGGCUGCACUGAGGAACUUGCUGGCUCUUGGUAUUUGGAAGCUGGUGGGUUGGUGGCGCGUGGGAGGUGGGGUGGGUGCUGUGCAGAAAGGGAGCUCUGGGGUGCCAGCUGGGCCGGGCUGUCAGGCGGGGUCAGCUGCAGCUGCUGUCACCUGGCGAGUCCCCCCCCUGGGGCCGUCCCAUGAUGGGCUGGGCCAGAGCUGGCAGGUGGUGGGCGGCACUGCUGCGUGUGUUGGCUGAGCUGCCCAGUAGUGGCCCACAGUGCCACGGGAGUUGGCUGGGGCUGGCUAACCUCGGCUCCUCCCCUUGCUACCUCCCUCCCCCCUGGUUGCCCGGAACCAGGCCCUCAGAUGUGGGUGUGGGCGUCCCACCCCUGCCCCAGGUAGGCUUCAGUGAGGAAGCGGUCAGGUGGUGCUCGCGGGAGGACGCUGUCCCCUGGUGAGUUUCAUGCGAGAAAAGCAGCUAGUGCUGGGUGACCGACUCCAGAGAAGACUCCACCACGGCACACUGAAAGGAGACUCUCGGUGUGCAGCAUGGCUCUGAAGUACCUGGACAGGGCUGGAUCCCGGUCACCGGGAGCUCAGCGGCGGGAGUGAGGGUACUUGAUGGAGGGCUGCUGCGCACAGAGGGGCGCUGUGAGGGGCGACGUGGCUGCUCUGCGUCUCCUCCUGUGUUGUUCAAGCUUCCGAUGGCUUGGGAAGCUCCGGUUCCUCUGAGACUCGGACUCCACAUUGCAGACUUCCAAGGAAUUAAAGGGAUCCGUCCCUAGAUACAGAGCAGGGAUCACCAGGCAGGGCACAGAGGAGGCAGGAGGGCUUCACUGGGCUCGGUGUGCGGACUGGGAGGCCCCUGAGGCCCUGGAAGUGACUGGACCCCGACCUUCCAGUGCUCAGGGCCACAGGUCCCUGGGGCCUGGCCGCUUCCUUCUGCUGACAGUGCUGUCCACCAGCAGAGGGGAGAGAGCCAUGCUGCACAAGGGAGUCCCCCUAGGCACUCGCCUGGGCAGCCCUCGGGGGCUCGGCCCCCUCGGCAGUGAACCUGAAGCCCAGGAAAGGGGAGGUCUCUGGGCCCUGGGGAGAAGCCGAGGCCCCCUGGGCCCUCGGAGGAGCAGGAGGUUGAGGACAGAGGGCGGAGUGCUGGCCCUGCCGCCCCAGCUGACCCCAAGGGACCCCUCCUGGAGCUGCGUGCUGACUGUCGAAAAGUCGCCCGAGCUCUUUGGUUUUCUCUCCCCGUUCUGUUGGAAAAUAAUUUUGUUGUGUUGGAGACACUGAAGUAUAUUUCAGCCCCAGCAGAGCACUUCUGCACGCCCCAAACACUGCAGGGCAGGAGAAGCCAAGGCCAGCGUCACCCUUCCCUGGGGCCUCGCUCUCGGGCUCGGUGGGGCCCGGCUCACCUGCUCCUGCUGCAGCUCCGGCACGGACAGUCGGGUUGCUCAGCGUGACGUCACAGUGCAGCCUGGGGGUCAGGAGUGAGGGCGCAGCUGAUGACGUGGGAGAGGGGGCUGCAGAGAGACCGCACCAGCAUCCCGGGUGCAAGUGUGUCCACUGCUGUAAUCAUCACAUGUGGGAAAGGGAGUGAGGAGGGGCAAGGACAGGAGCGGAGGAGGAGGAGGAAGGCGGAUCAGGAGGAAUCCAGCUCCCUGCAAACCUCCACUUCCUCCUGUCUUCUCAUUGCCAUGUCGCCUUCUGCGUGCAGGAGCAGUGGCUGUGGCAGGGCGCCCUGGGAGUGAGAGGGAGGGCAGGGUGGACUUGAGGUACAGGCUCAGGCCCCGCUGCUCAUCGGAUGACGUAGCCCAACCUCACGACCCUCUUGCGUCCUCACCUCUACACCCCUCUCCCAGUGCCUGGUGCUUCACCUUGAAAUGAAUGCAUGGUCCCUGCACUCACACGUAUUCCUCCACCCCUCCCAUUGCAUCCCUGCGGCUAGGAAGGGACUCCCGUGUCAUCCUCCGUCUCCCUGACUCUGUGUGGGAAGCCGUCUUGAUUCUCUCGUGUUUCCUUCCUCGAUGAAGUGUCAGGGCUUCCACAGCAGGGCUUGUGCAGAUCAAGGGCACUCACUAGAGUGUUCACUGAGCAGGUGGACUGGGAGGGCAGGGCACCUGCGGCCUGGGGAUAGGAGAGAUCUCAUCUGGGCAUGCGUGGAGUGGGGGGAACAGGGAAGCUCCGGAUGGCCAGAGCAGUGAUGGAGAAGCAGGGACGCGGCCCUGACGCCCAGAGGCCCUGUGCUGACCCUGGGCCGUCCCAGGAGGGGAGGUCAUGGAGCCGUGAGGCCGCUGUGUGCUGCAAGCCCAGCCGCGCCUGCACAGAUGUCCUCUGGGCUCCCUGCCUGGCCACGGGGUCUCCAGGGGAGCUGGACGUGGGGCUCUGAGUGGACGCCAAUGCCAGGAACCAGACGUGGGGGAGAUUGGAAGAACUCGGGGUUGUGCUUGCCCCCAACUUCUCUGAGAGGCUGGGGCCUCUCCCUUCACCCCAGAGGAAGUGUUCUUCAGCAUCCCCCACCACGGGAGGACCUUGUGACCCCAGAGGAGACAGGACAGAGCACAGAGGAGCUGCCCCAAGCCCUGGACGCAGAGGAAGGAGCCCGCUGCUCCCCACCGCCCGGAACUCGCUGCAGGAAGGCGUGGCUCCCGCAGGUGCCCUGGUGGGCGUCCUGUCAGCCCCGCCCUUCUGUCUCCUGCUGCUUGAGUUGAGGAUGCGGCAAGAGGCCCCUGGGACCACACGCCCUGGGCCUUGGACGCGGGCUCUCCAGCCUUCAGAACGGUGAGAAGUUGAUUUCUGUUCCUAACAGUUACUGGGUCGUCAGGAAUUUCUGAUAGCAGUGAAAACGGGCAUAGACAGCAGUCAGCACCAGCCCACACACCAGUCUCGUGGACCGAAUUCCGAGGGUGCUGCUGCAGCGGCACCCACGGCUGUGGGAUUUGCUGCAGUGCAGGCAGGACACACUUCCAGGAGAGGCAGGUCUGUGAAUACCAGAGCAAGAAAGGAGCAGGGAGACUCUGGUUGACGGGAACUCUCCUACUGUAUCAUCAAGACAGAGAAGGAGGGGCCGGCGUUGUAGAAUAGUGGGCUAAGUUGCUACUCUAGAGAACUGAGUCCCACCCUGGAGUGCCUGGAUUGGGAGUCCUUCCAGCUUCCUGCUCACGCACACACGGGCAGGCAGGUGAUGGCUUCACUGUCCGGGCACGUGCCACUCAGGUGCGACACCUGGAUUCUUUUCCCUGGCUCCAGGCUUCAUGGCUGUUUGGGGAGGGAACAGCUAGAAUCCAAGGAGAGCUGGAUUCACCGCCCUGGCCCUACCUGUUACAGUCAUUUGGGAAGUGAACAAGUAGGUAGGAGGCGUCUCUCUCUCUCUCUCUCAACUAAAAUGAAAAUAAACAAAUGAAUGAAUAAAUAAAAGAUGCCCUUGGCCAUAAAAACGAGCGGCAAGGACAGGUGGACGCGGGCUCAGCCCCCGCUACUGGGCUGACCCUCGCCUGUGCCUGAGCCCCCGCCCUGCGCUACCACCGCAGGGUUCCCGCUGCACUGGUCCCAGCUCCACUUCCAAUCCCAGGUUCCUGCUAAUGCACACCCUGGCCGGCAGUGAUGGCUCCUAUACGUGGGUCCCCGCCACACCCAUGGCUGGGCAGACUGGUUCAUGGUGCCCACUUU
This is a non-coding RNA of Oryctolagus cuniculus (rabbit), 6645 nucleotides long. NCBI's taxonomy places the organism in Eukaryota, Metazoa, Chordata, Mammalia, Lagomorpha, Leporidae. The record is from RefSeq and is a predicted model, not a curated record.